This 493-nucleotide ribosomal RNA is filed under the name uncultured bacterium. Its description in RNAcentral is "partial 16S ribosomal RNA". It matches the Rfam family "Bacterial small subunit ribosomal RNA", at positions 30 to 523 of the family's 1533-position model. The record is from RNAcentral.
AUUGAACGCUGGCGGCAUGCUUUACACAUGCAAGUCGAACGGUAACAGGUUAAGCUGACGAGUGGCGAACGGGUGAGUAAUGCAUCGGAACGUGCCCGAUCGUGGGGGAUAACGCAGCGAAAGCUGCGCUAAUACCGCGUACGAUCUGAGGAUGAAAGCGGGGGACCGUAAGGCCCCGCGCGAUCGGAGCGGCCGAUGUCAGAUUAGGUAGUUGGUGGGGUAAAGGCUCACCAAGCCAACGAUCUGUAGCUGGUCUGAGAGGACGACCAGCCACACUGGGACUGAGACACGGCCCAGACUCCUACGGGAGGCAGCAGUGGGGAAUUUUGGACAAUGGGCGAAAGCCUGAUCCAGCAAUGCCGCGUGCAGGAAGAAGGCCUUCGGGUUGUAAACUGCUUUUGUACGGAGCGAAAAGGUUCUCUCUAAUACAGAGGGCUCAUGACGGUACCGUAAGAAUAAGCACCGGCUAACUACGUGCCAGCCGCCGCAGUAA